Amblyraja radiata (thorny skate) is the source of this 331-nucleotide long non-coding RNA. RefSeq lists it as uncharacterized. NCBI's taxonomy places the organism in Eukaryota, Metazoa, Chordata, Chondrichthyes, Rajiformes, Rajidae. The transcript is spliced from 3 exons. The record is from RefSeq and is a predicted model, not a curated record.
UCCAGGAUGCUGACCAUUUCAAAGACAUUGCUGGCUAUUUUUCCAAGGAAGAGUUUGAAGAAAUAAGUGACUGGAAGAUGCUCCGUUAUAAAAACGUGAAGCGGAAUUAUGAAGCCGUGCUUGCCAUAGUGACGGCCACUGAGAACAAGAGUUUGACAGUCGAUAUUCCAGACACAAGCAGUGGACACAACCCAGAUCGGGGACUGAUGGGAUAUCUGGGAUCAGACAAUGAUCGGGCGAUCGUUCUUCCUCCUCUCCCUUCUCCAAGGUACCAUCAGCAGCAACUCAGAAGUGUUUAGGGGCGAGGAGGCUUUAACUGGUUGGCUGCCAG